This 482-nucleotide ribosomal RNA is filed under the name uncultured bacterium. RNAcentral's name for it is "partial 16S ribosomal RNA". It matches the Rfam family "Bacterial small subunit ribosomal RNA", at positions 30 to 507 of the family's 1533-position model. The record is from RNAcentral.
AUUGAACGCUGGCGGCAUGCUUUACACAUGCAAGUCGAACGGUAACAGGCCGCAAGGUGCUGACGAGUGGCGAACGGGUGAGUAAUGCAUCGGAACGUGCCCAGUCGUGGGGGAUAACUACUCGAAAGAGUAGCUAAUACCGCAUACGAUCUAUGGAUGAAAGCGGGGGACCGUAAGGCCUCGCGCGAUUGGAGCGGCCGAUGUCAGAUUAGGUAGUUGGUGGGGUAAAGGCUCACCAAGCCAACGAUCUGUAGCUGGUCUGAGAGGACGACCAGCCACACUGGGACUGAGACACGGCCCAGACUCCUACGGGAGGCAGCAGUGGGGAAUUUUGGACAAUGGGCGCAAGCCUGAUCCAGCAAUGCCGCGUGCAGGAAGAAGGCCUUCGGGUUGUAAACUGCUUUUGUACGGAACGAAACGGCUCUGGUUAAUACCUGGGGCUAAUGACGGUACCGUAAGAAUAAGCACCGGCUAACUACGUG